This 497-nucleotide ribosomal RNA is filed under the name uncultured bacterium. RNAcentral's name for it is "partial 16S ribosomal RNA". It matches the Rfam family "Bacterial small subunit ribosomal RNA", at positions 28 to 507 of the family's 1533-position model. The record is from RNAcentral.
GAUGAACGCUGGCGGCGUGCCUAAUACAUGCAAGUCGAGCGAACAGACGAGGAGCUUGCCCCUCUGACGUUAGCGGCGGACGGGUGAGUAACACGUGGAUAACCUACCUAUAAGACUGGGAUAACUUCGGGAAACCGGAGCUAAUACCGGAUAAUAUAUUGAACCGCAUGGUUCAAUAGUGAAAGACGGUUUUGCUGUCACUUAUAGAUGGAUCCGCGCCGCAUUAGCUAGUUGGUAAGGUAACGGCUUACCAAGGCAACGAUGCGUAGCCGACCUGAGAGGGUGAUCGGCCACACUGGAACUGAGACACGGUCCAGACUCCUACGGGAGGCAGCAGUAGGGAAUCUUCCGCAAUGGGCGAAAGCUUGACGGAGCAACGCCGCGUGAGUGAUGAAGGUCUUCGGAUCGUAAAACUCUGUUAUUAGGGAAGAACAAAUGUGUAAGUAACUAUGCACGUCUUGACGGUACCAAAUCAGAAAGCCACGGCUAACUACGUG